GUCGAACGAUGACCCCGUGCUUGCACGGGUGAUUAGUGGCGAACGGGUGAGUAACACGUGAGUAACCUGCCCCUGACUCUGGGAUAAGCCCGGGAAACUGGGUCUAAUACUGGAUACGACCUUAAACCGCAUGGUUUUUGGUGGAAAGAUUUAUCGGUUGGGGAUGGACUCGCGGCCUAUCAGCUUGUUGGUGAGGUAAUGGCUCACCAAGGCGACGACGGGUAGCCGGCCUGAGAGGGUGACCGGCCACACUGGGACUGAGACACGGCCCAGACUCCUACGGGAGGCAGCAGUGGGGAAUAUUGCACAAUGGGCGAAAGCCUGAUGCAGCGACGCCGCGUGAGGGAUGACGGCCUUCGGGUUGUAAACCUCUUUCAGUAGGGAAGAAGCGAAAGUGACGGUACCUGCAGAAGAAGCGCCGGCUAACUACGUGCCAGCAGCCGCGGUAAUACGUAGGGCGCAAGCGUUAUCCGGAUUUAUUGGGCGUAAAGAGCUCGUAGGCGGUUUGUCGCGUCUGCCGUNGAAGUCCGAGGCUCAACCUCGGAUCUGCGGUGGGUACGGGCAGACUAGAGUGAUGUAGGGGAGACUGGAAUUCCUGGUGUAGCGGUGAAAUGCGC
RNAcentral lists this ribosomal RNA (617 nucleotides) under bacterium 72-L049640-122-012-H09. RNAcentral describes it as "bacterial SSU rRNA". It matches the Rfam family "Bacterial small subunit ribosomal RNA", at positions 61 to 691 of the family's 1533-position model. The record is from RNAcentral.